Molecule: ribosomal RNA, 253 nt
Filed under: uncultured bacterium
Lineage: Bacteria
Description: partial 16S ribosomal RNA
Rfam family: Bacterial small subunit ribosomal RNA
Source: RNAcentral
UACGUAGGCAGCGAGCGUUGUUCGGAUUUACUGGGCGUAAAGGGCUCGUAGGCGGCCAACUAAGUCGGAUGUGAAAUCCCCAAGCUUAACUUGGGAACUGCAUCCGAUACUGGAUGGCUUGAAUCCGGGAGAGGGAUGCAGAAUUCCAGGUGUAGCGGUGAAAUGCGUAGAUAUCUGGAGGAAUACCGGUGGCGAAGGCGGCAUCCUGGACCGGCAUUGACGCUGAGGAGCGAAAGCUAGGGGAGCAAACGGG